This 416-nucleotide long non-coding RNA is filed under the name Volvox carteri. RNAcentral's name for it is "long non-coding RNA (VCAR_LNC001366)". The record is from RNAcentral. Lineage: Eukaryota; Viridiplantae; Chlorophyta; Chlorophyceae; Chlamydomonadales; Volvocaceae.
ACACUGAUACAGCCGGCUCGGCGGUGGAGAGCCAUAACAAAAAACGUUAUCCUGAGGAGAGCACCGGUGGAUAGCAUGGUAAGUGUAUGUAUGUGGCGCGAACUCGUGGAGUGCGUGCCCUCAAAACUCACGCAAUCCUUGUGGCCUGGGUUGUCCUACCCAGCAGGUACCCCGGUAACCCGAGGUAUACAUAUUCCCACACGUAGACCUGCUGGUGGUGCGGCUAGCCUAUAGACCACGAGAGUGUUAAGAACCCACCUAACAUGUGCAUGGGGGGGGGCCAUGGUGAAGGCAUGAUCAACGUAUAUGGAGCUGGGUUAAGGUGCCGGGGACCUACAUAUCUGUACUAGCAUCUUUACUCAUCUAAACAAGCACGUUGCCAAGUCAGGAUACAUACAGGAAUUAAUUUCGUCGCA